This 63-nucleotide non-coding RNA is filed under the name human gut metagenome. The record is from RNAcentral.
GCCGAAACGCCCACAGCGGGCGUCUGUCGGGGAUGGUCUCCCGGCACUGAUGAUGGCAGACCA